This 32-nucleotide non-coding RNA is filed under the name Mus musculus (house mouse). The record is from RNAcentral. Lineage: Eukaryota; Metazoa; Chordata; Mammalia; Rodentia; Muridae.
UGAGGUAGUUGGAGAAAUUUUUCUCUUGAAGC